RNAcentral lists this ribosomal RNA (458 nucleotides) under uncultured bacterium. Its description in RNAcentral is "partial 16S ribosomal RNA". It matches the Rfam family "Bacterial small subunit ribosomal RNA", at positions 339 to 795 of the family's 1533-position model. The record is from RNAcentral.
CUACGGGCCGCUGCAGUGAGGAAUAUUGGUCAAUGGGCGCAAGCCUGAACCAGCCAUCCCGCGUGCAGGAUGACAGCCCUAGAGGUUGUAAACUGCUUUUGUAUAGGAAGAAUAAGAGCUACGUGUAGCUUGAUGACUGUACUAUACGAAUAAGCACCGGCUAACUCCGUGCCAGCAGCCGCGGUAAUACGGAGGGUGCAAGCGUUAUCCGGAUUUAUUAGGUUUAAAGGGUGCGUAGGCGGGAUCUUAAGUCAGUGGUAAAAGGCAUUAGCUUAACUAAUGUAAGCCAUUGAAACUGGGAUCCGUGAGUUCGGUUGAGGUAGGCGGAAUGUGUUGUGUAGCGGUGAAAUGCAUAGAUAUAACACAGAACACCGAUUGCGAAGGCAGCUUACUAAGCCGUUACUGACGCUGAUGCACGAAAGCGUGGGUAUCAAACAGGAUUAGAUACCCUUGUAGUC